RNAcentral lists this ribosomal RNA (494 nucleotides) under uncultured bacterium. RNAcentral describes it as "partial 16S ribosomal RNA". It matches the Rfam family "Bacterial small subunit ribosomal RNA", at positions 28 to 507 of the family's 1533-position model. The record is from RNAcentral.
GACGAACGCUGGCGGCGUGCUUAACACAUGCAAGUCGAACGGAAAGGCCUGCUUUCCCUUGUGGAUUGCGGGUACUCGAGUGGCGAACGGGUGAGUAACACGUGAGUGAUCUGCCCCCAACUUGGGUAUAAGCCUGGGAAACUGGGUCUAAUUCCCGAUAGGACUGCAGGGUGGUGCCUGUGGUGGAAAACGAUUUUCUAGUGGUUGGGGAUGAGCUCGCGGCCUAUCAGCUUGUUGGUGGGGUAAUGGCCUACCAAGGCGGCGACGGGUAGCCGGCCUGAGAGGGUGGACGGCAAGAUUGGGACUGAGAUACGGCCCAGACUCCUACGGGAGGCAGCAGUGGGGAAUAUUGCACAAUGGGCGGAAGCCUGAUGCAGCGACGCCGCGUGGGGGAUGACGGCCUUCGGGUUGUAAACUCCUUUCGACCGCGAGGAAGCCACCUGGUUGGAAGGGUGGUGACGGUAGUGGUAGAAGAAGCACCGGCUAACUACGUG